RNAcentral lists this ribosomal RNA (253 nucleotides) under uncultured bacterium. Its description in RNAcentral is "partial 16S ribosomal RNA". It matches the Rfam family "Bacterial small subunit ribosomal RNA", at positions 524 to 776 of the family's 1533-position model. The record is from RNAcentral.
UACGUAGGGUGCGAGCGUUAAUCGGAAUUAUUGGGCGUAAAGGGCGCGUAGGCGGCUUGGCAAGUGGAUGGUGAAAUCCCUCGGCUUAACCGAGGAACUGCCGUCCAAACUGCUUAGCUUGAGACCGGGAGAGGUGAGUGGAAUUCCCAGUGUAGCGGUGAAAUGCGUAGAUAUUGGGAGGAACACCAGUGGCGAAGGCGGCUCACUGGACCGGUACUGACGCUGAGGCGCGAAAGCGUGGGGAGCAAACGGG